This 330-nucleotide ribosomal RNA is filed under the name uncultured eukaryote. Its description in RNAcentral is "partial 18S ribosomal RNA". It matches the Rfam family "Eukaryotic small subunit ribosomal RNA", at positions 1470 to 1796 of the family's 1831-position model. The record is from RNAcentral.
CCCUUAGGUGUUCGGGGCCGCACGCGCGCUACACUGAAGGAAUCAGCACGUCUUUCUCCUUGUCCGAAAGGACUGGGUAACCCGCUGAACCUCCUUCGUGCUAGGGAUUGGGGCUUGUAAUUCUUCCCCAUGAACGAGGAAUUCCCAGUAAGCGCGAGUCAUAAGCUCGCGUUGAUUACGUCCCUGCCCUUUGUACACACCGCCCGUCGCUACUACCGAUUGGAUGGUUUAGUGAGAUCCUCGGAUUGGUCCCGGCGCGGCCUCUGGUCGUGCCGGAGUGCCGAAAAGAAUGUCGAACUUGAUCAUCUAGAGGAAGUAAAAGUCGUAACA